Rattus norvegicus (Norway rat) is the source of this 6235-nucleotide non-coding RNA. The record is from RefSeq and is a predicted model, not a curated record. NCBI's taxonomy places the organism in Eukaryota, Metazoa, Chordata, Mammalia, Rodentia, Muridae.
UAGUUUUCUUGUUGCUAUGGCUAAAUAUAUGACAGACAGCAACUUUAGGGUACAGGUCAUAAUGGGGUGGGGCGUAUGAGUGGUCGUAGCAGGAACGUCACAUAGCAUCUGCUGUCAGAAGGAGGAGAGCAGUGAGCACACAGGACAUAAGCCAGGGCUCAAGGCUUCCAGUCCUGACUCCAGAGACCUGCUCCCUUCAAAGAAGCUUGCCUCUCUGAACCUCGAAGACUUGCCACCAGCUGGGGCCAAGUGACCCCGUGGAGCGCAUCGCGAUUAUAGAUGUGUGGAGCGUUCUGUUUGAGGCGAUAAGCACCACUCACAAGUAUCUCCGAAUGCGCCGAAGUUCGUCAGACACCGAGACUGGGAUAUCACUCUUCUUUUCCCCGCUGAGUUCCGAAGCCAUCCGGAUUCUUUCCGGAGUUCCGUGGAGGAGGACGGAGCUUCCAGAAACACCGAAGAACAUGGCUUCGCUGUGUGGCAACCAAAUGAGAGGACAGCCCCCACUCCGUCGCAGGCGGAGCUGGCACAUGGCAUCUCUCCCACCGGAACUUUUAUAACCUGGUGGUGGAGGAAAAGGUCAGAUAAAGACAGAUUACUCCAAGGAAAGUGCAAAAGGCAGGGAGACACGGAAGUCAGGCCCUCUUGCUAAGCAAUGACCGUGUGAUGGUCUGGAUAAAGCCGGGGACCAGUGACAUGAAUGGAGAUGAGCUGCCUGGUCUUCUCCUAGGCUUUGCUUCCUGGAAUUCUCUCUCCAUGGGCUUUUGAGAUGUGGGAGAAUAAGGCUUUUUCCCUAACAGUGCACUCACCGAGGUUUUAGUAAUAAGAAAUCUCUUAGCAAGAUUGUAGGGAGGCUUUCGUCAACUUUUCUACCUCCUACUCCACCCAGCCGAAGCCGCCAUCUGUGGGUGCUGCAUAUGACGCUGUCAUUUCUGCACCCACUCCUUCUCUCCCCAUCCUGUGGCCAGAAGACUUUUAAAAGUAAUUACUUAAAAAUUUGGAAUAUGUUUCCUCAUCCAUAAAUUACAGUACAGCGUCCAAACCCCUGGAUACAUGCAUGUUUUCUGAUCACCUCCUGCCAAUGUUUAGGGUGUUUGCUCUCUUUAUGGGGUCUCCUUCAGGCGGGAGCAUACACUGUCCUCAUUUGAACAGCAUAUCCCGACGGAAGGACAUGAGGAGACAGGAGCUAAUUGGAACUUUGCGAUUAGCUGUCAUGGAUGCCUGGGCGUGUCGAUACUGCUCAAUAAAGCCAAAAGGCCAAGUGUUUCCUCCUGCAUACUGAUUGCUCGACAGCACAGAGGAGCUUUCUAGACCGUCGGUUUCAGACUGAUGCUCUUGGCUCGGAAGUGGUUAAAAUCCCCAGCAGCCCUCUGAUAGUUCUGGAGAAUUCUUCAUUAUGGCUGCGAUAACGCUGUAAUAAUAGUUUUGCCCUCCAGUAUAUCAAGCGCCUCCCAGUCUCCUCAGUGCUUGCAUCAGUUAUAGUUGAUCAGCCAUCUUUCCCCGGUUAAAGGAUGUGGGACUCUCCCUCUCUCUCCUUACCCCUUUCACUCCACUGUCUCCCCAGCAAGCCCAGGCCUGAUUCUCCAUGUGAAUCAUCACAGUGAGCAGCAAGGAGGCCAUCUGGGAUUUGGGGCCACUCUGCUUUCUUCCUUCUCACACUCUGUUGUUUAAUUCUUUUUUUAAAAUAACAUUUUGUUUUAUUUUGUGGUGAUUGUGUGUGUGUGUGUGUGAGUGUGUAUGUGGUGUGGUGUGUGAGUGGUAAGUGAGUAUGUGUGUGUGUGGUGUGUGAGUAUGUGUGUGGUAUUUAAGUAUAUGUGUAUGCAUGUGUGUGUGGUAUGUGAGUGCAUGUGUGUAGUGUGUGAGUGUGUGUGUCCAUGUGUGUGUGAUGUGGUGUGUGAGUGUAUGAGUGUGCAUGUGUGUGUGUGUGUAAUGUAUGGUAUGUGUGAAUGUGUAUGUGUGGUAUAUGAAUGUAUGUUUGUGUAAAUGUGUGUGAUAUGUGAGUGGUGUGUGUGUGUGUGCAAGUGUGUGUGGUAUGAUGUGUGGUAUGUGCGUGCAUGUGUGUGUGGUGUAUGAGUGUAUGUGCGUGCAUGUGUGUGUGGUGUAUGAGUGUAUGUGUGUGCAUGUGUGUGUGGUGUAUGAAUGUAUGUUUGUGUAAAUGUGUGUGGUAUGUGAGUGGUGCGUGUGCAAGUGUGCGUGGUGUGAUGUGUGGUAUGUAUGUGCAUGUGUGGGUGGUGUGAUAUGUGAGUGGUAGGUGUGUGUGUGUGUGUGUGUGUGUGUGUGUGUGUGUGUGUGUAUACAGGAGUACACUUGCAGGAGAAAAGGAUGUGGGAUUCCAUGAAGCUGGAGUUAUAAGAGUUUGUGAAGUGCCCAAUGGGUGUUAGGAACCAAGUAUGAGUGCUCUGACCCACUGAGCCAUUUCCCCAGUACCUAUUGUUCAACAAUGUAUUCAGUCCAGAACGUUGCCUCUUUUCCCACUAAGCCCUUAUUUUGGCUAAUGUUGGUUGAAGUCUUCUUGUAACCAAGAGCCAAUGGAGUGCCAGCUUGCGCUGCUGCAUGCUGCUUUCAAACUUGUGGAGCUUUGUGGUCUAAUCCACCUACAAUGCUUGGUUUCAGCUGUCUUUACUUGGGUAACUUCUGUUUGUGUGCAUGCCUCAUCUCCCCAAAUAGAGUGUGGACUUCUUCAGACUGUUGGCCAUAUUCUAUCCAUCUGUAGACACCAUGCAGCACCUAGCAGUGCCUUCCACAAAGGAAGUGCAUGGCAGACAUUCCUUGAUUGAUUAUUCCAUUUUCUCCUAUUCACCCCCAACUGUUCCCAUCAUCUGAAGCAUCUCCUUGGAAGUGGCAGACUGCAGUCACCUUCACCUACUGCUGUGCUUCUCUGCUUGGAACAGAAGAAAGAGAAGGCAAGCUAAAUCCUUCUUUGAUAUCAAGGUCUUAGCCUCUAAUGCCUCAUGGCUGCGGGGACAACGGCUCCAUCAUUUCCUGAUCCAUGUGUCUACCCCUACCUUCCUACGAAGAACAAAUCCCUAGAGGGAAGGGGUCAGAUGUAGAAGGGGAAAUAGUCUUUCGAUUUGAUUAUACCAGAAUGAGUACUGACUAUUUCAGUGUGUGUUUACGACAAGCACAUUUUUAUUUGUACAAGGAAAGGAGAAUAGGAACUAGAUGGCCAUGGGUAUCACUUGGAACUCCUGAGUUGCAUGUGACGGAAACUCAAUUUAAAUUAACUAGCCAAAAAGGAAAUAUAUUGGUUCAUAGAAGCUUCCAGAUGGGUCGUGUGGAGAGGGCUUCAGUAGGAUCAGCCUAGUGUGGGUCACAUGUCUGCAUCUGAGGUGUUAAUGGUGCUAGUGGGUCUUAGGAAGGGAUUUAAGUUGGGGUGGGGAUAGGGUUGUGCUUACCAGGGCAAGGUCUACUAUGCAACAUUGAGAGCAUAGCUCAGGGGGUGGGGGGAUGAACUGUACUAGAGGUGUUUGGACCUAGAGCUCAGUACCUUUACUGGCUCAUGAGCUGUCUGUUGCUGAGGCAACAAGUCCUUUAGAGAACGCUUUCAGAAAGCUGUUUCUGCCUGGACUCCAUGCAUGUUCUCUCCCUUCCUGCUGCUCUGUGCUCAUGGUGGUUGCUUGUUCCAGAUCUCUGCAACGGCUUCUGGCUUUGUGCUUGUUUUCAUACCGAAAAACAAUGUCUUCAGAUUACCCUGGACCAGAUAAACUAUAACCACUGAGUCAUGCUUCCAGAGUUUGUCGUCUGGGCUCAGGUCAAACACUCAGAAAGCAAGUGACCUAAUUCAGAAUAGAAACUCUAGAAAUGGAUUGUCUGGGGAUAUGUGGAUAAUUAUUCACAUUUUGGAACCCAAACUACUUUCACACUGUAGUGAGGCCUCCUAAAGGUGGCAUGGUCUGGAGAGUUGUAUUUUGGACAGUACGCAUAUUCUCCUAGAGGUCUGAGAAGGUGUUUUAUGACACUGUCCCUUCCAUGGUGUUCAUUAUGGCUGAAUAGGGCCAGCCUUCCCCCAGAUGUUGUUGAUGCUUUUUUUUUUUUUUUUUUAGCCAGUUUCAUAGUGUUGAGCAGUGGUAACCUCUGUAGGAGAUGAUUGGCUCAUGGGGAUUGGGACAUCCUGAAUGGAUUAAUGUUCACCAGUGGGAGCGAGCUCUUGAAUGUGAGUCUACCCCUGGGAUUUUUGUGCUUGAAGACAUUACUUUGUCCCUCCGCUCUUCUCUGGUGCAAGGGAACAGCACUAAAUCCUCACAGCCCCUGCACUACCUCCCUGUGUUGGUUACCAUUGAAUCGCCUGGGAGACAGCCCCCUGGGUUAUCUUGAUUAGGCUGAUUGAUGCUGGAGAGUGGGUAACGCCAUUCUCCAAGCUUGGGUCCAGACUACACUCAAAGCAGAAAACUAGAUGUAUACUCUUUGUUUCCUGCCUCCUUGACUGGGGACACGGUGUGACCAGCUGCCUCAAGUCCCUACCACUGUGACUUCCAUGCUCUGAUGCCCUUGGAGCACACAACCCGCUCUUCCUAAGCUGAAUUUGUCAGGAAUUUUGUUCUGGCAGGAAACAAAGUUACUGAGCCUUUAAGACUGUGAGCAGAGCAGACUUCUUUCGUUUAUAAAUUACCCACUUUCUGACACUCAGUCAUGGCAUCCACAACAGCAGCCUGAGAUAGAUACUCAUGAGUGAUACAGUCUCAGAAGAGGAAGCUACCACUUCUGUGUGGCCUGCCUUCCCUCUAAAACCACCCAUGCUUUCUAUGUGGAUGCCCUCACGAAUGUAAGUACCUGAAACCCCAAACCACCUCCUGAAGUAGUGGCCACACUGUCAGCUCAGCAAGCUCUCACCCCAGGACCCCCGAUUUCUGUGGUGAACUAUGAGAAAGAAAUAAGAAGAAUCAGCUUUUCAGAUAAACUUUGCCUCUUUAAAAAAAAAAAACAAAAACAAAAACCACCAAGCCCCUAGUUUCACUGUAUAGUUAUUUUGAAUCCACUGAUAAUUUGAGCAAUUUUCCUGUAAGUCAUUCACAAGUGGUUCCCUCUAAUAUCGCACUCAGUUAUGCUCCCACAUAUCUGUCUGUUACUGAGAACUCUGCUUCUUGAGUGUAAAUGUUUGAUGUGCAUUAAGGCUCUUGACUUACAUAUGAAGGGGCAUUGAACAAUGUGACACAGAAGUAUUUGCCUUACGACUCUCGUGUCUGAAGAAUCCACUGGCUUGGGUGAAAUAGAGUGAUCUGUCAAUUUCUGUGCUCACUUCUAACAAGGAAGUCACUAUCAGCCAAGGAACAAAAAAAGGACUGUCUAUGCAAUUAAAAGAACAGGUUGGCUUUGCUCAAUACAGAAACAAAGAAACCAUGCAAGAGACACAAUGUUUCUUUAGUUAGGCGACUGAGAUUCUAUUGAAGACACUUUAUUUUUUGUUUAUGGUAGGAGCUAUCCUGGACUCAAGUGGGAAGUGCUGACUUCUGGCUUUUGCCCCUGUAUAGAGAAGUAGUUUUGCCAUAAACACUCAAAUGGUGCAGGUAUGGAUGGAACGCAGUGCUCCAGCUUGCUCUUAGCAUUCUGGACGGUGUUUAAUCUAGGAACUGCCUGUUCCAAGUCAUUAAAUGUUGUUCCAGACCCUAAAACUGGUAACUGUCCUGUCAUCUGAGAUCCAUUUAUCUGCAGGGAAUUAAAUAUUCAGUUUCAUGCCUUCUGGGACAAGAUCGGUCUUACCCCAAAGCUUCUUCAGAGAAAGAGUUUGGAUUCUUUGAAGAACAAUCCCUGUCUUUUAUCCAGCUCCAGUCAAUUGUUCAUUCUGUCCAUAGGCUCUGGGAGACCUUGCCGGCCAGAGGGGCAGCAUCCUUUUCUAUUUCUAGAAGAGGAGAGGAAAACCUUUGUGACAAGCCUGACCUCAUGGAGGCUCAUUAAUGCUCUAUAACUGUGAAGAACUUUCAAGAAAAAUACACACACAUGCGCAAACACAGACAGACACACACUACAGUCACUGUGGUACUUAGCCAUUAACAUCCAGUGCAAGCUGUUUCUCUGGAACGUUGAAUCUAGUGUCCUCUAUAGACAGUGAAUGCAAACGACUUAGAUUGUGAAAGUACAUUAGCUUUUGAUUAACCGCUGGAUGAGGGCCAGUAAAAUUUUUAAAUCUGAAUGAGUUUGCUGACUCGGGCUCCGGAGCAGCAUAAUGGACAACCUCAGAGCUUUCAUUAAAAGGGUUUCUGGUAACUGAUGUCUAGAGAAACGAGUUGACACACAAUUCCCC